GACGAACGCUGGCGGCGUGCUUAACACAUGCAAGUCGAACGGAAAGGCCCUGCUUUUGUGGGGUGCUCGAGUGGCGAACGGGUGAGUAACACGUGAGUAACCUGCCCUUGACUUUGGGAUAACUUCAGGAAACUGGGGCUAAUACCGGAUAGGAGCUCCUGCUGCAUGGUGGGGGUUGGAAAGUUUCGGCGGUUGGGGAUGGACUCGCGGCUUAUCAGCUUGUUGGCGGGGUAGUGGCUUACCAAGGCUUUGACGGGUAGCCGGCCUGAGAGGGUGACCGGCCACAUUGGGACUGAGAUACGGCCCAGACUCCUACGGGAGGCAGCAGUGGGGAAUAUUGCACAAUGGGCGGAAGCCUGAUGCAGAAACGCCGCGUGCGGGAUGACGGCCUUCGGGUUGUAAACCGCUUUCGCCUGUGACGAAGCGUGAGUGACGGUAAUGGGUAAAGAAGCACCGGCUAACUACGUG
This 468-nucleotide ribosomal RNA is filed under the name uncultured bacterium. RNAcentral describes it as "partial 16S ribosomal RNA". It matches the Rfam family "Bacterial small subunit ribosomal RNA", at positions 28 to 507 of the family's 1533-position model. The record is from RNAcentral.